RNAcentral lists this ribosomal RNA (1306 nucleotides) under Dyscolus oopteroides. RNAcentral describes it as "12S ribosomal RNA". The stretch from base 1075 to 1233 matches the Rfam family "Archaeal large subunit ribosomal RNA", at positions 2542 to 2701 of the family's 2987-position model. Lineage: Eukaryota; Metazoa; Arthropoda; Insecta; Coleoptera; Carabidae. The record is from RNAcentral.
AUUAAAAAUUUAUUAUUAAAUGUUUUAUUUUUUUUUUGUUUAAUAAAAAUAAUUUUAUUAAUUUAUUUUUUAAGUAUAUUUUAUAGAAAAAAUUUUGUUAAUUAUAGUUUAUUUGUAUUGUAAAAGAUAAUUGAAAUAAUAUAUUAAUUAUUUAAAAGUAAAAUUUAAUUUUUGUACCUUGUGUAUCAGGGUUUAUUAAAUAAAUAUUAAUUAUUUUAAUUUUCUCGAUUUUAAGAGAGCUAAUAAAGUAUUUUUUUUAUUGUAAAAAAACUAUUUAAAAUAUUUUAUUGGUAAUGAAACGUUAUUCGUUCUUAAAAAUAUCUAGUUUAUUUAGAAAUGAAUUUAAUUCAAAUAUUUUAAUUUUAAUAAUUUAAUUUAUUAAUUUAUUAAAUUUUAAUAUUAAUAAUUAAAGGGAUAAGCUUUUAAUUAAAAAUUUAUAAGUUAGAUAAUAAUUUUAGAAAAUGUAAGUUUAGAAAUAUCUAUCAAUAAUAAUUUGUUAUAAUUAAUUUAAUAUUAAAAUAUUAUUUUAUAUAACUUUAAAUUUUUUAUAAAUAAAUAAUUUUUAAUUUUAUAAAAUUAGAUAUAAUGAUAGAAUUAGUAUAUAUUUUAAAUAUUUAAAUAAUAGUAUAAAAAAGAUUAUUUAAAGGAAUUCGGCAAAAAUUUUACUCGCCUGUUUAACAAAAACAUGUCUUUUUGAUAUAUAUAUAAAGUCUAGCCUGCCCACUGAAAUUUUUAAAUGGCCGCAGUAUUUUGACUGUGCAAAGGUAGCAUAAUCAUUAGUUUUUUAAUUAAAAGCUCGUAUGAAAGGUUGGACGAAGUAAAAUCUGUCUCUAUUUAAUUUAAAUUAGAAUUUAAUUUUUAAGUUAAAAAGCUUAAAUUUUAAUAAAAGACGAGAAGACCCUAUAGAGCUUUAUAAUUUAUUUAAUAUAAUUAAUUAAGAUUAAUUUAGAUUUUAUUAAUAUAAUUAUUUUAUUGGGGUAAUAGGAAGAUUAAAUAAAUUCUUUUUUUUUAUUUACAUUGAUUUAUGAAAUAAGUGAUCCAUUUUUAAUGAUUAUAAGAUUAAGUUACCUUAGGGAUAACAGCGUAAUUUUUUUAGAGAGUUCAUAUCGAUAAAAAAGUUUGCGACCUCGAUGUUGGAUUAAAGAUUAGUUUAGGUGUAGAAGUUUAAAUUUUUGGUCUGUUCGACCAUUAAAUCUUUACAUGAUCUGAGUUCAGACCGGUGUAAGCCAGGUCGGUUUCUAUCUUUAUUUAAUAAAAAUAUUUUAGUACGAAAGGACCAAAUAUUUAAUAUAUUUAUAUUUAAAUU